Molecule: long non-coding RNA, 4815 nt
Organism: Ailuropoda melanoleuca (giant panda)
Lineage: Eukaryota; Metazoa; Chordata; Mammalia; Carnivora; Ursidae
Exons: 5
Source: RefSeq, a predicted model, not a curated record
CUUUCAUUUUACUCAGAGGGUCCCUGCCCUGCUCAGUUUGGUUUCUGUUUCCAGUAAUUCCCCUCAAAACCACGCUCCUUUCUGCUGGAAUGAAAUUGUUUGCUGGUCUUUGCUGAGACUCCCAAGGACUUACACGCCCCGCCCAGAUCCACACUUCCUGCCGGCGCAUGGAUCUGCUGGCCCGGUUGCUGCUCAGGAUAGCGUCUUCCUCUUGUGGGGGAAAGAGGAGAACAGGGGAUUCCCUCAGGAGUUCACAUUUUCUUAAUUGAUGGAAAUUUCAUGACUGUCGUGGAAUCGAUGAAGGGCCUCCGUAAAGCCCCAAGUUUCCUGUAACAGUUUGGAAACCACGGAUCUCUCUAAACCCCUCACUUUACAGAUGAGGCAAUGGAGACCGAAGAAAUGAAAGGAACAUACACCAAAGCACACACAGAGUGGAAGACCUGAGGGAGAGCGCUCCCAUCUUGGCACCUAGAAUAGUACCCUUUUCUAUCACAAGGACCUGCCCUCUGGAUCUUAACAGGAAUGUGCUUACCAGUGUUCAACAAAGUGCUUCCCAAGUGCUUUCAAGAUGCUCUCUGAAAAACGCACUGAACAAAUACUGAGGCAUCUGAGGAGAGAGGUUGGGCGACAGGCUGAGGAUGGGCCAUCCUGUCCAGCUGCUCGCUGCCAGCCCCAGGACACCAUCAUCUAUGAAUUACAGCCAUAGAUCCCACUGGAUCAAGAAACCCUGCCUGCCACUCCAACUUGCUGCCUAUUGAGCAAUUAUGUUCAUUGUGCCUCUGAAAGCCACUAGUGGACUUCUCCGAGAUGCUCAUAGCUUCCUCGACAAUUCCUCCCUGAAAUAGGGAUCUUGCUCCUCCGUCUACUCUUGCUGAGACCUGACUUUGGCUGUCAGUCUGGAGACAAUGAAGGUUGGCGGAUGUUAGCUUGUCUUCAGGAGGACAAGCAUCAUCUUGUGAAGACGCUGCUUUAGGUGAAAGCUUGCGUAUUCUCCAGGCAGGCAGAAGCUGGUCUUCUCUGGCGAAGGCGAUAAUGAAGGUGCUGCCUCUUCGGGAAGGACGGCGGAAGGGAAUUUGGAGUUUCUCGGUGCUCAGUUUCCUGCACCGAAAUGUCUCCGUCCCAGUACCCAGAGUCCUCCACUAUCCCUAGUAGGGCCCUGACUUGACACAGAAUAUUUGCUGAGGCUCCGCAUUUCGUCUUCACGGCAGCUCUAAAUGCCCUAGAAUUAGGUCCUUGCCCUGAUUCUCAGCACAGUCUUUCCCGAGGGUGCAGGAAAUAAAGAUUUCCUUUAAUACCGCCUUUCGAGGGCAUCUGGAUGUUAGAUCAAGCCUUAAAUUGACUUCCCUGAGCUGUUAUUUAUUUAAAUAUCUUUAAUGCUGUAAUAAGUAUCUCUCCUAACCCACAAUCCUCGUAAUUAGCAUUGUUUCUAUGUUGAUUGAAUGCCAUGACCCCUUGUGCUCCCAGGGCUAGGCCUCCCUCCACCUGCACUCUAUCCCUAUUAACUACAAUGAAGGUUGAAGAAAUCAUGAGUCACCAAAUGCCAAGGGAUUAUUACCAUUCCACGUACCUCUAGCAGUGGCAUACCUAUGACUUUCCGACAGGCGGCCCAUUGGCCUCCCUAAUUCCAUCUUGAAGAUUGUUUCCUAGAACUACCCUUGGACAAUUGUUUAAGCUGUGUCUUCUAGAAAGCAGAGUGUUAGCCGAGGAUUCAAGUGCUGAUGUGAUAUUUGCAAAGUGCAAGACCUGUGAGAUGAGGGUGAAGAAGAAUGGAAAGCAAGUCAAGGGAGCCUGGGAGGUUAUGCAGCACGUUACUCUGCUGGCCAUUGCUCCACAACGAGCCAUGAAAAGCCACGCAACACAAUUGGUGGUAUGCUCACGCUGCACAUCGGAUUUUCUCCAAGAGAAUUUCAAGGAGAAACGAGUCCCCAGAGUAGUCCACAGAAGGGAGACAUGAGGAGAAAUUUGUCAUGCAGCUUCCUUCCAUCUUCCACUUCCUAGUGGAUGCUCGGCCCCCCGUGUUCCCUGAUCGGCCUCGAUGGCAGUGACUCAGAGGGCCUGAUGCCAUCCUCUGACCGUGGCACGUCAUCCAAGUCUAGACCUCAGUAUGGUACAGAGUACUGGUUGGCCAUGUGGCCUGGGGCCUAUCCUGGGUUUCUGCCCCCUUGGGGAGGUUGGUCAAAAGCAGUGGCAGUAACAUGGUUCAGGAGACAAGCAGAAUCUUGGGAAGGAAGCCAGGAAGGUAAUCCAGAGAGGCACCAGGUCUGUGUCAGCAACACUGUGCUUCAGGAAAACAGGGACAAAUCAAGUGCAUGUCACUCAAGAAUUCUUAUUUUGGACACAAUUUCGUCAGAUACAAUUUUGUUACUUUCAAGGGCCCUACACAUUAUAAAUGAAAGCUUGAGUGUGUGAACAUCGUCCAUGAAAACAUCCAGGUGUGCCGAGUUUCAUGCCAUCGCUCUGCCCUUGAAAGAAAGGAAGAACUCCUUGUUUCAGGGAGCCUGGUGGGUAACUCUUGUGUAAGGCGUGAACUCCUUUGUAGAUGCGAACGCUCAUGUUCUAAUUAGCAGUGGGAAGGGUUCAGUUUCAGCAAAAGAGGUUUUCUUAAAGGUUCGCGUUGUCUAGUAUUGUAUCUUGAAGUGAAAAACCUAAUUUAUUGUUUGCUCAGUCCAGAUGGAAUUUUUACUCACUAAAGAUAAAGCCAGUGGCUUCCAGACAUUGUAUGUUCUCAAGGGAAGUUGAAGGGCUUGCAUUUUUCUCAUGAGAUGGCUCGCGGCUGGCCACUGUGGACUGGGCUUUACAGAGCCAGGACAGUGAAGGAAAACCAGACUGAAGCUGUCACCAAUUUUUGAUGACCUCAGGACAUGCCAAUGACAAGAUGGUGAAGGGAUUAAGCUGAUUUUGCUCAACAGUGCCAACCUUUUAGGGUUUAAUGGGGGAAGAUAAUCAUUGUAGUGACAGGUUCACGUUCCCAUAGUAGAAAAAUAAUACUUUUCACUGUGCAAAUAUUGAGGUGCUUUCACUCUCUUCCAUAGAUUCAUUUCUUCACAGAGGGAGUUACAACAUGAGAUUUGAUUGACAACCACGGGUGAACCAUGUGAUAUUAACCUUAAAUACUCUCAGAGCCAUGUUACUUUAACAAGAGUCACGUAUAGCUCUCUGAGCACCUGCUAUCGCACUGAGGUCUAUUUCAGAAUCGAGGCCCGAUUCUCCCUAUAACUGAAGGUAUGCAAGGAGCCUUAUCUUCUGCCCUGGCUGUGCCUUAUCAGUGAGUCCUCUGUCUUCCCUGUGUUGACUCUUUGCCUGGAUCUAUGGCUUCCUGACUCUCACCUGCUAGAUCUGGGAAUCUGUCCCAAUGACUCUCAAACUCAACUGUAUCAAAACAAUCCCAGGAGCUUUAAAAAAGUACAGACACCUAGGAUUAUAUCCUCCCUGGUUCUGAAUCUCUAGGGCUGGAGCCUGUGGAUUGUCUGUAAUUUUGAGAAGUCCUUUACGUAAUUCUAAUGCUGCAAUGCCAUCAUUAGGCUAUGGUUAGGAAUGGCCUAUUUUUACCUGGGCUGAUCCUUUUUAGUUACUUUCUGGAUUCAAUUUUUGAGGCCACUUCGGGAUCCCUCCUUGGUAAAUGUGGAAUCCUCAUGGGUUUAAUAGAGAAAGGAACAUUUACCCAUACAUUCAGGUAUGUAUGUAUGUAUGUAUGUAUGUAUGUAUUUAUGUAUCUAUCCAUCCUUCCAUCUACUGAAAUAAUAUUUUUUUAUGUUCGGUGCCUGCUACAGGGAUGACUGUUAGUAGAAACCCAGAGGGUUACUUGAGCCUUAACUUGUGGGAUGCUGUACCAGAUACUGAGUCUCUGUUAGUCUGUGAUUUCCUUGGAGGUAGGGACCCCAUCUCUCCACAUGGUUAUGUCUUAACUAUUUAGUGUCAGAAUUGUGGAAAGUGCUUGACCUUUUUUUAUUAUUGAAAUGGAAUGAAAAUAGAGUUACAAACUCAUGUUCUCUAUCUGUUCCAUCAUACAAACAACACAGAAGCGCUGGACGUCUUCCAAAGGCCCAAUUGUUAUAGGCAUGGGCACUCAGUAAGCUUUAAUCUGUUAAUGUGAAGUCAGAAAGUCAGGUAAGUCACAGUGGAUUCUUGGGAGACACUAGAAUGGUAGACGUUAACAGGAGGAACUACUGGGUGUGGAAAUUGGAACUGAGGUAGACUGGUAUAUAUUUUAACCUAGAAGGACGGUCUUUCCUCUUUUAUAGCAGUUACGCUCUGCCUUAAUGCUGCAGAAUUUUGGAGUGAUGAAUACCCGAGCAGCCCUGCUGUGCUGGAGCAUGGGCUCGGUCUGGCUUUCUGAUUGGAUGAAGGGCAGAGGACAGGGUGCACGCUGAGUUGGAGGGUGUGGAAGUGGGCCCUACAGAAAUGCAAGAUGCUCUGCAUUUGUGUACUUCAUCUGUUAGAACCGUAGCACAUUAAUCAGUGUUGUUUUAAAUUAUUGGUUUGAUAAUUCCAACAUCCCUGCCAUAUCUGAGUCUGGUCAAUGUAAGCAGAAAGAUGGAAAUUCUAAAAAGAAUAAAAAAUAAAUGCUAGAGAUCAAAACAGCUGUAACUGAAGUGAAGAAUGCCUUUGAUGGCCUCAUUAGUAGACUGGACAUGGCCAAGGAAAGAAUCUAUGAGCUUGAGGAUAUGUCAAUAGGAACUUCCAAAACAGAAGAGCAAGCAGAAAAAAGACUGAAAAAAAGGGGGCACCUGGGUGACACAGUCACUUAAGCGUCUGACUCUUGGUUUUGGCUCAGGUUGUAAUCUCAAGGUCAUGAGAUCGAGCCCCGUGUAAUGC